AAAAACAUAAUUAAAUAUUCCCAUAAAUACUUAAUUAAACCAACCAAUAAAGCAACAUUUAAACCGCAAGUCAAAAAUACUAUUUUAUGAAUAAAUAAAUAAUUCAAAACCAAGAAUGACUAACAAUCCUAACACAACCCUAACCAGUUCCAAUAACCAAAACACUUAAAUAAAUCAAACGAGUUCCUAAAUCAUCCUCUCUUCCUUACCAUGAUUCCACGAUCACACUUUAUCUUUACCUACAUCAACAAUACAAUGAGAUGCGAAAGUAUUAUCAUAAAUACUUAGUGAGGCGAUCCUCCCAUCUAGAGGUAUACACACAAGCAAAUAAAAGGUUAUAAUC
This 343-nucleotide small RNA is filed under the name Arabidopsis thaliana (thale cress). RNAcentral describes it as "ATSL208770". Lineage: Eukaryota; Viridiplantae; Streptophyta; Magnoliopsida; Brassicales; Brassicaceae. The record is from RNAcentral.